Molecule: non-coding RNA, 89 nt
Organism: Xylariaceae sp. FL0016
Lineage: Eukaryota; Fungi; Ascomycota; Sordariomycetes; Xylariales; Xylariaceae
Source: the annotation of a GenBank genome assembly
GGCCUUGUGGCCCAAUGGUUAAGGCGCCUGACUACGAUUACACUACUGAGUAAAUCAGGAGAUUCCAGGUUCGAGUCCUGGCAAGGUCA